CCAUCCCCCAUCCCCCAUCCCCCAUGGCAGGAGAAACAGUCAAGUUUUUCCUGCCCAUCACUCAAUGGCUCAAUCGCAUCGCUCUCCCGGCAACACCGUAACGAGGAGCAACUUGCCGUUUGGAUAUAUCCUAGCUGUGUUUGUGCCCUCACUCAUGGUCCAGACUUUUUUCAAAUAGGACAUGUAGUUUGUCUGCAGCGAGUGUUUUGGUAGAAACUGCGCCUCCCAUUCAUUAUAAUGGGAAAUGACCACAGACAAGUGCGCACACCAUCUUUGGACCUUGAGUGUGACGCGAUCGGGAGGGGGAGGCGGUCGCACUGGGGGCGGCGCAACGUGGCUCGGGCCCGCCAGUGCCCCAACGGGGCCCUAGUUAGGGCCCGAGCGUAGCUGCUAAGCAGCUGCGAGAGCCCUAUUAUUCCCCAAGUGGUUUUUCUUUGUUUCUUUCUUUCUUCUUUUUCCUCCCCUUUGAACUGGAAAAUGGCCCACUUCCCACUGGCGAAAACUCAUGAAAUUUGGCAGGAUGACCGGGCCUGGUGAAAAAUUUGAUAUUCCGAAGUCGCCCAAACAAGAAAAUGCAAAAUGGCUCCAUAGCGCCCCCUAAGGUGAAAAUUCACACUAUUGACUGUCACGCCUUUAUGCUUUGUCAAAAUGACACAAAAAUUGACACACAUAUGUAUCUCAAUAAGAUCUACAAAAAAGUCAGUGCGGGCGUAUCUGUCAAAUGUACGGUUAAAGGGUUAUUCCGCAUUUUUUGCCGAUCCGCACACAUUGGAAUUUCGCUAACUCCUCCGAAGGCUUUCUUUCCACCGGCACCACAUUUGCUCAGGCCAAUCUACACCCCAUGGCCAUUAAAAAUUAUUCAAAUCAUGACGCUGCACCCCACGGUUUAGGUUCUAGGGGGCGCCAAAGAUAACCCUAAAAUCCACAAAUUUCAAAGUCUUAUAACUUUUUAUUUUUGCCCUCACUGGCCUCCAAGUUUUCUAGGAUGAUGCAAUGUCCAGCCAUCAACACAUUUGUGAAGGAAUUUUUACUCCCCAAAAGAGCGCCCCCCCAUGGCCGGAGAAAAAAGUCCAUUUUUUCUUGUCCCUUAAGGUGAAAAUACACAUUGUUGAGUGUCACGCCUGUACGCUUUGUCAUAUUGACACAAAAUUUGACACACACAUGUAUCUCAAUAAGAUCUACGAAAAAGUCAAUGCGUGCGUAUCUGUCAAAUGUACGGUUAAAGGGUUAUUCCGCAUUUUUUGCUGAUCCGCACACAUUGGAAUUUCGCUAACUCCUCCGAAGGCUUUCGUUCCACCGGCACCACAUUUGCUCAGGCCAAUCUACACCCCAUGGCCAUUAAAAGUUAUUCAAAUCAUGACGCUGCACCCCACGGUUUAGGUUCUAGGGGGCGCCAAAGAUAACACUAAAAUCCACAUAUUUAAAAGUCUUAUAACUUUUUAUUUUUUGCCCUCACUGGCCUCCAAGUUUUCUAGGAUGAUGCAAUGUCCAGCCAUCAACACAUUUGUUGAGGAAUUUUUACUCCCCAAAAGAGCGCCCCCCAUGGCAGGAGAAAAAAGUCCAUUUUUUCUUGUCCCCUAAGGUGAAAAUACACAUUGUUGAGUGUCACGCCUGUACGCUUUGUCAAAAUGACACAAAAAUUGACACACACAUGUAUCUCAAUAAGAUCUACAAAAAAGUCAAAGCGCGCGUAUCUGUCAAAUGUACGGUUAAAGGGUUAUUCCGCAUUUUUUGCCGAUCCGCACACAUUGGAAUUUCGCUAACUCCUCCGAAGGCUUUCGUUCCACCGGCACCACAUUUGCUCAGGCCAAUCUACACCCCGUGGCCAUUAAAAGUUAUUCAAAUCAUGACGCUGCACCCCACGGUUUAGGUUCUAGGGGGAGCCAAAGAUAACCGUAAAAUCCACAUAUUUAAAAGUCUUAUAACUUUUUAUUUUUGUCCCCACUGGCCUCCAAGUUUUCUAGGAUGAUGCAAUGUCCAGCCAUCAACACAUUUGUGAAGGAAUUUUUACUCCCCAAAAGAGCGCCCCCCCAUGGCAGGAGAAAAAAGUCAAUUUUUUCUUGUCCACUAAGGUGAAAAUACACAUUGUUGAGUGCUACGCCUGUAUGUUUUGUCGUAUUGACACAAAAUUUUACAUACACGUGUAUUUACAUAAGAUCUUCGAAAAAGUCAAUGGCCACGUAUCUGUAAAAUGUACGGUUAAAGGGUUAUUUCGCAUUUUUUGCAGAUUCGCACACAUUGGAAUUUCGCUAAUUCCUCCGAAGGCUUUCGUUCCACCGGCACCACAUUUGCUCAGGCCAAUCUACACCCCAUGGCCAUUAAAAGUUAUUCAAAUCAUGACGCUGCACCCCACGGUUUAGGUUCUAGGGGGCGCCAAAUAUAACCCUAAAAUCCACAUAUUUAAAAGUCUUAUAACUUUUUAUUUUUGUCCUCACUGGCCUCCAUGUUUUCUAGGAUGAUGCAAUGUCCAGCCAUCAACACAUUUGUGAAGGAGUUUUUUCUCUUUAAAAGAGCGCCCCCCCAUGGCAGGAGAAUAAAGUCAAGUUUUUCCUGUUCAUCAUUCAAUGGCUCAAACGCACUGCUCUCUCGGCAAAAGCGAAAGGAGGAGCAACUUGCCAUUUGGAUAUAUCUUAGCUGUGUUUGUGCCCUCACUCAUGGUCCAGACUUUUUUCAAAUAGGACAUGGAGUUUUUCUGCAGCGAGCGUUUUGGUAGAAACUGCGCCUCCCGUUCAUUAUAAUGGUAAAUGACCACAAACAAGUGCGCACACCAUCUUUGGACCUUGAGUGUGACGCGAUCGGGUGAGGGAGGCGGUCGCGCUGGGGGCGGCGUGACACGGCUCGGGCCCGCCAGUGCCCCAACGGGGCCCUAGUUAUUAUUUUUCCUCCCCUUUGAACUGGAAAAUGGCCCACUUCCCACUGGCGAAAACUCAUGAAAUUUGGCAGGACGACCGGGCCUGGUGAAAAAUUUGAUAUUCCGAAGUCGCCCAAACAAGAAAAUGCAAAAUGGCUCCAUAGCGCCCCCUAAGGUGAAAAUUCACACUAUUGACUGUCACGCCUGUACGCUUUGUCAAAAUGACACAAAAAUUGACACACACAUGUAUCUCAAUAAGAUCUACAAAAAAGUCAGUGCGGGCGUAUCUGUCAAAUGUACGGUUAAAGGGUUAUUUCGCAUUUUUUGCCGAUCCGCACACAUUGGAAUUUCGCUAACUCCUCCGAAGGCUUUCGUUCCACCGGCACCACAUUUGCUCAGGCCAAUCUACACCCCAUGGCCAUUAAAAGUUAUUCAAAUCAUGACGCUGCACCCCACGGUUUAGGUUCUAGGGGGCGCCAAAGAUAACCCUAAGAUCCACAUAUUUAAAAGUCUUAUAACUUUUUAUUUUUGCCCUCACUGGCCUCCAAGUUUUCUAGGAUGAUGCAAUGUCCAGCCAUCAACACAUUUGUGAAGGAAUUUUUACUCCCCAAAAGAGCGCCCCCCAUGGCAGGAGAAAAAAGUCCAUUUUUUCUUGUCCCCUAAGGUGAAAAUACACAUUGUUGAGUGUAACACCUGUACGCUUUGGCAAAAUGACACCAAAAUUGAGACACACAUGUAUCUCAAUAAGAUCUACAAAAAAGUCAAUGCGCACGUAUCUGUCAAAUGUACGGUUAAAGGGUUAUUCCGCAUUUUUUGCCGAUCCGCACACAUUGGAAUUUCGCUAACUCCUCCGAAGGCUUUCGUUCCACCGGCACCACAUUUUCUCAGGCCAAUCUACACCCCAUGGCCAUAAAAAGUUAUUCAAAUCAUGACGCUGCACCCCACGGUUUAGGUUCUAGGGGGCGCCAAAGAUAACCGUAAAAUCCACAUAUUUAAAAGUCUUAUAACUUUUUAUUUUUGUCCCCACUGGCCUCCAAGUUUUCUAGGAUGAUGCAAUGUCCAGCCAUCAACACAUUUGUGAAGGAAUUUUUACUCGCCAAAAGAGCGCCCCCCCAUGGCAGGAGAAAAAAGUCCAUUUUUUCUUGUCCCCUAAGGUGAAAAUACACAUUGUUGAGUGUAACACCUGUACGCUUUGGCAAAAUGACACAAAAAUUGACACACACAUGUAUCUCAAUAAGAUCUACGAAAAAGACAGUGCGCGCGUAUCUGUCAAAUGUACGGUUAAAGGGUUAUUCCGCACUUUUUGCCGAUCCGCACACAUUGGAAUUUCGCUAACUCCUCCGAAGGCUUUCGUUCCACCGGCACCACAUUUGCUCAGGCCAAUCUACACCCCAUGGCCAUUAAAAGUUAUUCAAAUCAUGACGCUGCACCCCACGGUUUAGGUUCUAGGGGGCGCCAAAGAUAACCCUAAAAUCCACAAAUUUCAAAGUCUUAUAACUUUUUAUUUUUGUCCCCACUGGCCUCCAAGUUUUCUAGGAUGAUGCAAUGUCCAGCCAUCAACACAUUUGUGAAGGAAUUUUUACUCGCCAAAAGAGCGCCCCCCCCAUGGCAGGAGAAAAAAGUCCAUUUUUUCUUGUCCCCUAAGGUGAAAAUACACAUUGUUGAGUGUAACACCUGUACGCUUUGGCAAAAUGACACAAAAAUUGACACACACAUGUAUCUCAAUAAGAUCUACGAAAAAGACAGUGCGCGCGUAUCUGUCAAAUGUACGGUUAAAGGGUUAUUCCGCACUUUUUGCCGAUCCGCACACAUUGGAAUUUCGCUAACUCCUCCGAAGGCUUUCGUUCCACCGGCACCACAUUUGCUCAGGCCAAUCUACACCCCAUGGCCAUUAAAAGUUAUUCAAAUCAUGACGCUGCACCCCACGGUUUAGGUUCUAGGGGGCGCCAAAGAUAACCCUAAAAUCCACAAAUUUCAAAGUCUUAUAACUUUUUAUUUUUGCCCUCACUGGCCUCCAAGUUUUCUAGGAUGAUGCAAUGUCCAGCCAUCAACACAUUUGUGAAGGAAUUUUUACUCCCCAAAAGAGCGCCCCCCCAUGGCAGGAGAAAAAAGUCCAUUUUUUCUUGUCCCAUAAGGUGAAAAAUUACACUAUUGACUGUCACGCCUGUACGCUUUGUCAAAAUUACACAAAAAUUGACACACACAUGUAUCUCAAUAAGAUCUACAAAAAAGUCAGUGCUAGCGUAUCUGUCAAAUGUACGGUUAAAGGGUUAUUGCGCAUUUUUUGCCGAUCCGCACACAUUGGAAUUUCGCUAACUCCUCCGAAGGCUUUCGUUCCACCGGCACCACAUUUGCUCAGGCCAAUCUACACCCCAUGGCCAUUAAAAGUUAUUCAAAUCAUGACGCUGCACCCCACGGUUUAGGUUCUAGGGGGCGCCAAAGAUAACCCUAAAAUCCACAUAUUUAAAAGUCUUAUAACUUUUUAUUUUUGUCCUCUCUGGCCUCCAAGUUUUCUAGGAUGAUGCAAUGUCCAGCCAUCAACACAUUUGUGAAGGAAUUUUUACUCGCCAAAAGAGCGCCCCCCCAUGGCAGGAGAAAAAAGUCCAUUUUUUCUUGUCCCAUAAGGUGAAAAUACACAUUGUUGACUGUCAUACCUGUAUGCUUUGUCAUAUUGACACAAAAUUUGACACACACAUGUAUCUCAAUAAGAUCUACGAAAAAGUCAAUGCGCGCGUAUCUGUAAAAUGUACGGUUAAAGGGCUAUUUUGCAUUUUUUGCCGAUUAGCACACAUUGGAAUGUGGCUAACUCCUCCUAAGGCUUUCGUCCCACUGACACCAAAUUUGCUCAGGCCAAUCUACACCCCAUGGCCAUUCAAAGUUUUAAAAAUCAUGAUGCUGCACCCCACGGUUUACGUUCUAGGGGGCGCCAAAGAUGACCCAAAUAUCCACAUUCUUAAAAGAAUCCACAUCGCCCCCCCCCCCCCCAUCCCCCAUCCCCCAUCCCCCAUGGCAGGAGAAACAGUCAAGUUUUUCCUGCCCAUCACUCAAUGGCUCAAUCGCAUCGCUCUCCUGGCAACACCGUAACGAGGAGCAACUUGCCGUUUGGAUAUAUCCUAGCUGUGUUUGUGCCCUCACUCAUGGUCCAGACUUUUUUCAAAUAGGACAUGUAGUUUGUCUGCAGCGAGUGUUUUGGUAGAAACUGCGCCUCCCAUUCAUUAUAAUGGGAAAUGACCACAGACAAGUGCGCACACCAUCUUUGGACCUUGAGUGUGACGCGAUCGGGAGGGGGAGGCGGUCGCACUGGGGGCGGCGCAACGCGGCUCGGGCCCGCCAGUGCCCCAACGGGGCCCUAGUUAGGGCCCGAGCGUAGCUGCUAAGCAGCUGCGAGAGCCCUAUUAUUCCCCAAGUGGUUUUUCUUUGUUUCUUUCUUUCUUCUUUUUCCUCCCCUUUGAACUGGAAAAUGGCCCACUUCCCACUGGCGAAAACUCAUGAAAUUUGGCAGGAUGACCGGGCCUGGUGAAAAAUUUGAUAUUCCGAAGUCGCCCAAACAAGAAAAUGCAAAAUGGCUCCAUAGCGCCCCCUAAGGUGAAAAUUCACACUAUUGACUGUCACGCCUUUAUGCUUUGUCAAAAUGACACAAAAAUUGACACACAUAUGUAUCUCAAUAAGAUCUACAAAAAAGUCAGUGCGGGCGUAUCUGUCAAAUGUACGGUUAAAGGGUUAUUCCGCAUUUUUUGCCGAUCCGCACACAUUGGAAUUUCGCUAACUCCUCCGAAGGCUUUCUUUCCACCGGCACCACAUUUGCUCAGGCCAAUCUACACCCCAUGGCCAUUAAAAAUUAUUCAAAUCAUGACGCUGCACCCCACGGUUUAGGUUCUAGGGGGCGCCAAAGAUAACCCUAAAAUCCACAAAUUUCAAAGUCUUAUAACUUUUUAUUUUUGCCCUCACUGGCCUCCAAGUUUUCUAGGAUGAUGCAAUGUCCAGCCAUCAACACAUUUGUGAAGGAAUUUUUACUCCCCAAAAGAGCGCCCCCCCAUGGCCGGAGAAAAAAGUCCAUUUUUUCUUGUCCCUUAAGGUGAAAAUACACAUUGUUGAGUGUCACGCCUGUACGCUUUGUCAUAUUGACACAAAAUUUGACACACACAUGUAUCUCAAUAAGAUCUACGAAAAAGUCAAUGCGUGCGUAUCUGUCAAAUGUACGGUUAAAGGGUUAUUCCGCAUUUUUUGCUGAUCCGCACACAUUGGAAUUUCGCUAACUCCUCCGAAGGCUUUCGUUCCACCGGCACCACAUUUGCUCAGGCCAAUCUACACCCCAUGGCCAUUAAAAGUUAUUCAAAUCAUGACGCUGCACCCCACGGUUUAGGUUCUAGGGGGCGCCAAAGAUAACACUAAAAUCCACAUAUUUAAAAGUCUUAUAACUUUUUAUUUUUUGCCCUCACUGGCCUCCAAGUUUUCUAGGAUGAUGCAAUGUCCAGCCAUCAACACAUUUGUUGAGGAAUUUUUACUCCCCAAAAGAGCGCCCCCCCAUGGCAGGAGAAAAAAGUCCAUUUUUUCUUGUCCCCUAAGGUGAAAAUACACAUUGUUGAGUGUCACGCCUGUACGCUUUGUCAAAAUGACACAAAAAUUGACACACACAUGUAUCUCAAUAAGAUCUACAAAAAAGUCAAAGCGCGCGUAUCUGUCAAAUGUACGGUUAAAGGGUUAUUCCGCAUUUUUUGCCGAUCCGCACACAUUGGAAUUUCGCUAACUCCUCCGAAGGCUUUCGUUCCACCGGCACCACAUUUGCUCAGGCCAAUCUACACCCCAUGGCCAUUAAAAGUUAUUCAAAUCAUGACGCUGCACCCCACGGUUUACGUUCUAGGGGGCGCCAAAGAUAACCCAAAAAUCCACAUUUUUAAAAGUCUUAUAACUUUUUAUUUUUGUCCUCACUGGCCUCCAAGUUUUCUAGGAUGAUGCAAUGUCCAGCCAUCAACACAUUUGUGAAGGAAUUUUUACUCCCUAAAAGAGCGCCCCCCCAUGGCAGGAGAAAAAAGUCCAUUUUUUCUUGUCCCCUAAGGUGAAAAUACACAUUGUUGACUGUCACGCCUGAACGCUUUGGCAAAAUGACACAAAAAUUGACAAUCAUGUGUAUCUCAAUUAGAUCUACGAAAAAGUCAAAGAGCGCGUAUCUGUAUAAUGUACGGUAAAAGGGCUAUAUUGCAUUUUUUGCCGAUUCGCACACAUUGGAAUUUCGCUAACUCCUCCUAAGGCUUUCGUCCCACUGACACCAAAUUUGCUCAGGCCAAUCUACACUCCAUGGCCAUUCAAAGUUGUAAAAAUCAUGACGCUGCACCCCACGGUUUACGUUUUAGGGGGCGCCAAAGAUGACCCAAAUAUACAUUACAGUAGACAAAGUAGUUUUGCCCACUGAGUGGCGCCAAAGGGACUUGUCUGUGGAGUCUGUGAGUCACUAUUGGCCGUUUUUGACUACUUUAGAUUUUACCUUUAUAUUUCCUCUUACAAAAUUUUUACCUUGCCUUGCCUGGUAUCAUUUUUUUCAGCACAACCUCACCUGUGUCAAUUUACAGUUAUUUUAUCAUUUUGACAUACUAUAUUUACACAUUGGACCCAAAUUCACACACAAAACAUAAAAUCCGAGUGGAAAAAAGUAACGUUUUUACUGUGAAAACCACAAAUAUGUGUGAUGAACUGUUUUUAAAACUUAAACUUCAAAUAAAAAUUGUAAACUUCAAAACAUAUGCAAAUUUUUAACAAAGAACAUAGUAAUUUACCUCUAUUUACAUCAAAAUGCAGGCAAUGGCCCAGGUGUUCUUUGUAAAAUUAUUUACAAAACACUGUAUAGUCUCACAAAUGUCACUUUUUAUUUAUGCCACUACAAAAAAACAUGAUGUAAAUGAUGCAUGAUGUAAAACAUGAUGUAAAAAACUUGUGUAGAUCCUCCUCUAUGUUAGUCCAUGUGUAAUUUUUCCAUAAUUCUUUGUUUUUUGCAGCAUUUUUGUUAGUGUAACUGCAGAUUGUGCUGACAGUGUCUAUGGCAAAAAAAAAAAAAAACAACUGAAAAUGCCUCAACAUGAACCCCUGGUGGUCUCUGAGGGUGAAACCUGCUAACUGCUGCAGCUCUGUCAGCUUCAGUCUCCCAUGCAGAGCUCGGAGCGCAUGUGUGGCUCUGCACCCUUAGCAGCGUUGCUAACUCCUCAGUAAGGAAAGCCUGCUUCAUGUCAGAGUCUCUAAACUCCAGAAGAAGUCGAUAAAAGUCACUUUCUUUCUAAAAAAAAGUCGUUAGGGGGUCUGAAAAGUCAUUGAAUCUAACAACAAAGUCGCUAGGUUUGCAACUACGUGUCCCAGACUGCAUCCCUGCUGAGAGUCCCUCCCUCCCUUCUCAUAUUGCAGGAAGAACGUAAGCGCCCGCCCCUUGUCAAUCAGUCACCAUAUAAUUUUGGAUUGGUUGUUGUGGUGAAGUUUUCCACCAAUAGGAGAGAUGUUGUGGUGUGUUUUUUUUUUCCUUUGGCAAGCCUUUUCCGCUGUAAGACCUGUCGCUAAUGUCUGCAUGCUAUGUUUUCCUGUCUCAUACAGCGCGAUCGAGCGCCGAACGUGAUCAAAAUAAGCUGAAAACAAGUAUCGCGGACAUAAUUUAUCAUAACUGGUUUUAUUUGGCCUAUCAACACAAUUUAAAAACUGGUAUAUAGGUUGAGGUCCUCACUUUUGAGAUAAGUUGAAACGGAGAGUCAAUGAGGCUCCGUCUUGCAGCUACAUCCGGUUAAAUAUGUCGUGUGACUUGAAGGCACACACACACACACACACACACACACACACACACACAGACACACACACACACACACGCACACACACAAACCCAGAGUCUGGUUUUUAGCACCUGCAAAAACAUGCUAUUUACAUAUUUGACAAGAAUGCAGAGGCUCCUUUUGCCCCUGAAAAAAAUCAGAUUUCAAACACAACUUGACUGGUCAUUUCUCCAAAAGACAACCAUGAAGCUCCAUCCAAACCUGAAGCAGGCAGUUGGUGCAUGUGUACAGUAACCUGAGGGGAGUGAGGUGACUGCUUCUGAGGAGAACAUGAGCAGUGAAGAUUCACCUUAGAGCUAGAACAGAGACGUGCACAUGAUUAUACAGGGGCAGGGGCUCAAGUUUUUUCCAGUUGUUUAUACAAUAUGGAAAUUAAUGUGAAAUUAAAAAACAAAGUAUUAAUAGAAAGGUAAUGACUGUCCUGUGUAGGUGACAGUGAUAUCCAAUAGGCUAGGCACUCACGAGGCUGGCUGUGGCAAGUGUAAGUGAAAGCAACACGCACUGGCAGGAAGAACAGCAAACGCCGAUGAAGGAAAAGGGUCUUUGCAGUGAUGGGCGUUACCAGAGAGGGCGAUGGCCAGAGGACGCGAAUGGGACGGGGAGGCAGCACGUUGGGGGGGGGGACGCGACACAGCUCGGGCCCGCCAGUGCCCCAACGGGGUCCUAGUUAGGGCCCGAGCGUAGCUGCUAAGCAGCUGCGAGAGCCCUAUUAUUCCCCAAGUGGUUUUUCUUUGUUUCUUUCUUUCUUCUUUUUCCUCCCCUUUGAACUGGAAAAUGGCCCACUUCCCACUGGCGAAAACUCAUGAAAUUUGGCAGGAUGACCGGGCCUGGUGAAAAAUUUGAUAUUCCGAAGUCGCCCAAACAAGAAAAUGCAAAAUGGCUCCAUAGCGCCCCCUAAGGUGAAAAUUCACACUAUUGACUGUCACGCCUUUACGCUUUGUCAAAAUGACACAAAAAUUGACACACAUAUGUAUCUCAAUAAGAUCUACAAAAAAGUCAGUGCGGGCGUAUCUGUCAAAUGUACGGUUAAAGGGUUAUUCCGCAUUUUUUGCCGAUCCGCACACAUUGGAAUUUCGCUAACUCCUCCGAAGGCUUUCUUUCCACCGGCACCACAUUUGCUCAGGCCAAUCUACACCCCAUGGCCAUUAAAAGUUAUUCAAAUCAUGACGCUGCACCCCACGGUUUAGGUUCUAGGGGGCGCCAAAGAUAACCCUAAAAUCCACAUAUUUAAAAGUCUUAUAACUUUUUAUUUUUGCCCUCACUGGCCUCCAAGUUUUCUAGGAUGAUGCAAUGUCCAGCCAUCAACACAUUUGUGAAGGAAUUUUUACUCCCCAAAAGAGCGCCCCCCCAUGGCCGGAGAAAAAAGUCCAUUUUUUCUUGUUAUUAUUAUUUUUCCUCCGCUUUAAACUGGAAAAUGGCCGACUUCCCACUGGCGAAAACUCAUGAAAUUUGGCAGGACGACCGGGCCUGGUGAAAAAUUCGAUAUUCUGAAGUCGCCCAAACAAUAAAAUGCAAAAUGGCUCCAUAGCGCCCCCUAAGGCGAAAAUUCACACUAUUGACUGUCACGCCUGUACGCUUUGUCAUAUUGACACAAAAAUUGACACACACGUGUAUCUCAAUACGUUCUACGAAAAAGUCAGCGCGGGCGCAUCUGUGAAAUGUAAUGUUAGAGGGUUAUUUCGCAUUUUUUGCCGAUCUGCACACAUUGGAAUUUCGCUAACUCCUCCGAAGGCAUUCGUUCCACCAGCACCACAUUUGCUCAGGCCAAUCUACACCCCAUGGCCAUUAAAAGUUGUACAAAUCAUGACGCUGCACCCCACAGUUUACGUUCUAGGGGGCGCCAAAGAUAACCCAAAAAUCCACAGUCUUAAAAGUCUUAUAACUUUUUAUUUUUGUCCUCACUGGCCUCCAAGUUCUCUAGGAUGAUGCAAUGUCCAGCCAUCAACACAUUUGUGAAGGAAUUUUUACUCCCCAAAAGAGCGCCCCCACAUGGCAGGAGAAAAAAGUCCAUUUUUUCUUGUCCCCUAAGGUGAAAAUACACAUUGUUGAGUGUCACGCCUAUACGCUUUGUCAUAUUGACCCAAAAUUUGACAAUCACGUGUAUCUCAAUAAGAUCUACGAAAAAGUCAAUGGGCACGUAUCUGUAAAAUGUAUGGUUAAAGGGCUAUUUCGCAUUUUUUGCAGAUUCGCACACAUUGGAAUGUGGCUAACUCCUCCUAAGGCUUUCUUCCCACCGACACCAAAUUUGCUCAAGCCGAUCUACAUCCCAUGGCCAUUCAAAGUUGUAAAAAUCAUGCCGCUGCACCCCAUGGUUUACGUUCUAGGGGGCGCCAAAGAUGACCCAAAUAUCCACAUUCUUAAAAGUCGUUUUGGCCACUGCAGGAGUACAGAGUACUGCAGGAUACACACACACAGACACACACAAACACAGACACACACACACACACACACACACACACACACACACACACACACACACACACACACACACACACACUCAGAGUCUGUUUUUUAGCACCUGCAAAAACAUGCUAUUUACAUAUUUGACAACAAUGCAGAGGCUCCUUUUGCCCCUGAAAAAAAUCAAAUUUCAAACACAACUUGACUGGUCAUUUCUCCAAAAGACAACCAUGAAGCUCCAUCCAAACCUGAAGCAGGCAGUUGGUGCAUGUGUACAGUUACCUGAGGGGAGUGAGGUGAGUGCUUCUGAGGAGAACAUGAGCAGUGAAGAUUCACCUUGGAGCGAGAACAGGGACGUGCACAUGAUUAUACAGGGGCAGGGGCUCAAGUUUUUUCCAGUCGUUUAUACAAUAUGGAAAUUAAUGUGAAAUUAAAAAACAAAGUAUUAAUAGAAAGGUAAUGACUGUCCUGUGUAGGUGACAGUGAUAUCCAAUAGGCUAGGCACUCACGAGGCUGGCUGUGGCAAGUGUAAGUGAAAGCAACACGCACUGGCAGGAAGAACAGCAAACGCCGAUGAAGGAAAAGGGUCUUUGCAGUGAUGGGCGUUACCAGAGAGGACGAUGGCCAGAGGACGCGAAUGGGACGGGGAGGCAGCGCGUUGGGGGGGGGGGGGCGCGACACAGCUCGGGCCCGCCAGUGCCCCAACGGGGCCCUAGUUUGUUAUUAUUAUUAUUAUUUUUCCUCCCCUUUGAACUGGAAAAUGGCCCACUUCCCACUGGCGAAAACUCAUGAAAUUUGGCAGGACGACCGGGCCUGGUGAAAAAUUUGAGAUUCCGAAGUCGCCCAAACAAGAAAAUGCAAAAUGGCUCCAUAGCGCCCCCUAAGGUGAAAAUUCACACUAUUGACUGUCACGCCGGUACGCUUUGUCAAAAUGACACAAAAAUUGACACACACAUGUAUCUCAAUAAGAUCUACAAAAAAGUCAGUGCGGGCGUAUCUGUCAAAUGUACGGUUAAAGGGUUAUUUCGCAUUUUUUGCCGAUCCGCACACAUUGGAAUUUCGCUAACUCCUCCGAAGGCUUUCGUUCCACCGGCACCACAUUUGCUCAGGCCAAUCUACACCCCAUGGCCAUUAAAAGUUAUUCAAAUCAUGACGCUGCACCCCACGGUUUAGGUUCUAGGGGGCGCCAAAGAUAACCCUAAGAUCCACAUAUUUAAAAGUCUUAUAACUUUUUAUUUUUGCCCUCACUGGCCUCCAAGUUUUCUAGGAUGAUGCAAUGUCCAGCCAUCAACACAUUUGUGAAGGAAUUUUUACUCCCCAAAAGAGCGCCCCCCCAUGGCAGGAGAAAAAAGUCCAUUUUUUCUUGUCCCCUAAGGUGAAAAUACACAUUGUUGAGUGUAACACCUGUACGCUUUGGCAAAAUGACACAAAAAUUGACACACACAUGUAUCUCAAUAAGAUCUACGAAAAAGUCAAUGCGCGCGUAUCUGUCAAAUGUACGGUUAAAGGGUUAUUCCGCAUUUUUUGCCGAUCCGCACACAUUGGAAUUUCGCUAACUCCUCCGAAGGCUUUCGUUCCACCGGCACCACAUUUGCUCAGGCCAAUCUACACCCCGUGGCCAUUAAAAGUUAUUCAAAUCAUGACGCUGCACCCCACGGUUUAGGUUCUAGGGGGAGCCAAAGAUAACCGUAAAAUCCACAUAUUUAAAAGUCUUAUAACUUUUUAUUUUUGUCCCCACUGGCCUCCAAGUUUUCUAGGAUGAUGCAAUGUCCAGCCAUCAACACAUUUGUGAAGGAAUUUUUACUCCCCAAAAGAGCGCCCCCCCAUGGCAGGAGAAAAAAGUCAAUUUUUUCUUGUCCACUAAGGUGAAAAUACACAUUGUUGAGUGCUACGCCUGUAUGUUUUGUCGUAUUGACACAAAAUUUUACAUACACGUGUAUUUACAUAAGAUCUUCGAAAAAGGCAAUGGCCACGUAUCUGUAAAAUGUACGGUUAAAGGGUUAUUUCGCAUUUUUUGCAGAUUCGCACACAUUGGAAUUUCGCUAAUUCCUCCGAAGGCUUUCGUUCCACCGGCACCACAUUUGCUCAGGCCAAUCUACACCCCAUGGCCAUUAAAAGUUAUUCAAAUCAUGACGCUGCACCCCACGGUUUAGGUUCUAGGGGGCGCCAAAUAUAACCCUAAAAUCCACAUAUUUAAAAGUCUUAUAACUUUUUAUUUUUGUCCUCACUGGCCUCCAUGUUUUCUAGGAUGAUGCAAUGUCCAGCCAUCAACACAUUUGUGAAGGAGUUUUUUCUCUUUAAAAGAGCGCCCCCCAUGGCAGGAGAAUAAAGUCAAGUUUUUCCUGUUCAUCAUUCAAUGGCUCAAACGCACUGCUCUCUCGGCAAAAGCGAAAGGAGGAGCAACUUGCCAUUUGGAUAUAUCUUAGCUGUGUUUGUGCCCUCACUCAUGGUCCAGACUUUUUUCAAAUAGGACAUGGAGUUUUUCUGCAGCGAGCGUUUUGGUAGAAACUGCGCCUCCCGUUCAUUAUAAUGGUAAAUGACCACAAACAAGUGCGCACACCAUCUUUGGACCUUGAGUGUGACGCGAUCGGGUGAGGGAGGCGGUCGCGCUGGGGGCGGCGUGACACGGCUCGGGCCCGCCAGUGCCCCAACGGGGCCCUAGUUAUUAUUUUUCCUCCCCUUUGAACUGGAAAAUGGCCCACUUCCCACUGGCGAAAACUCAUGAAAUUUGGCAGGACGACCGGGCCUGGUGAAAAAUUUGAUAUUCCGAAGUCGCCCAAACAAGAAAAUGCAAAAUGGCUCCAUAGCGCCCCCUAAGGUGAAAAUUCACACUAUUGACUGUCACGCCUGUACGCUUUGUCAAAAUGACACAAAAAUUGACACACACAUGUAUCUCAAUAAGAUCUACAAAAAAGUCAGUGCGGGCGUAUCUGUCAAAUGUACGGUUAAAGGGUUAUUUCGCAUUUUUUGCCGAUCCGCACACAUUGGAAUUUCGCUAACUCCUCCGAAGGCUUUCGUUCCACCGGCACCACAUUUGCUCAGGCCAAUCUACACCCCAUGGCCAUUAAAAGUUAUUCAAAUCAUGACGCUGCACCCCACGGUUUAGGUUCUAGGGGGCGCCAAAGAUAACCCUAAGAUCCACAUAUUUAAAAGUCUUAUAACUUUUUAUUUUUGCCCUCACUGGCCUCCAAGUUUUCUAGGAUGAUGCAAUGUCCAGCCAUCAACACAUUUGUGAAGGAAUUUUUACUCCCCAAAAGAGCGCCCCCCCAUGGCAGGAGAAAAAAGUCCAUUUUUUCUUGUCCCCUAAGGUGAAAAUACACAUUGUUGAGUGUAACACCUGUACGCUUUGGCAAAAUGACACCAAAAUUGAGACACACAUGUAUCUCAAUAAGAUCUACAAAAAAGUCAAUGCGCACGUAUCUGUCAAAUGUACGGUUAAAGGGUUAUUCCGCAUUUUUUGCCGAUCCGCACACAUUGGAAUUUCGCUAACUCCUCCGAAGGCUUUCGUUCCACCGGCACCACAUUUUCUCAGGCCAAUCUACACCCCAUGGCCAUUAAAAGUUAUUCAAAUCAUGACGCUGCACCCCACGGUUUAGGUUCUAGGGGGCGCCAAAGAUAACCGUAAAAUCCACAUAUUUAAAAGUCUUAUAACUUUUUAUUUUUGUCCCCACUGGCCUCCAAGUUUUCUAGGAUGAUGCAAUGUCCAGCCAUCAACACAUUUGUGAAGGAAUUUUUACUCGCCAAAAGAGCGCCCCCCAUGGCAGGAGAAAAAAGUCCAUUUUUUCUUGUCCACUAAGGUGAAAAUACACAUUGUUGAGUGCUACGCCUGUAUGUUUUGUCGUAUUGACACAAAAUUUUACAUACACGUGUCUUUCAAUAAGAUCUUCGAAAAAGUCAAUGGCCACGUAUCUGUAAAAUGUACGGUUAAAGGGUUAUUUCGCAUUUUUUGCAGAUUCGCACACAUUGGAAUUUCGCUAACUCCUCCGAAGGCUUUCGUUCCACCGGCACCACAUUUGCUCAGGCCAAUCUACACCCCAUGGCCAUUAAAAGUUAUUCAAAUCAUGACGCUGCACCCCACGGUUUAGGUUCUAGGGGGCGCCAAAGAUAACCCUAAAAUCCACAUAUUUAAAAGUCUUAUAACUUUUUAUUUUUGUCCUCACUGGCCUCCAUGUUUUCUAGGAUGAUGCAAUGUCCAGCCAUCAACACAUUUGUGAAGGAGUUUUUUCUCGUUAAAAGAGCGCCCCCCAUGGCAGGAGAAUAAAGUCAAGUUUUUCCUGUUCAUCAUUCAAUGGCUCAAACGCACUGCUCUCUCGGCAAAAGCGAAAGGAGGAGCAACUUGCCAUUUGGAUAUAUCUUAGCUGUGUUUGUGCCCUCACUCAUGGUCCAGACUUUUUUCAAAUAGGACAUGGAGUUUUUCUGCAGCGAGCGUUUUGGUAGAAACUGCGCCUCCCGUUCAUUAUAAUGGUAAAUGACCACAAACAAGUGCGCACACCAUCUUUGGACCUUGAGUGUGACGCGAUCGGGUGGGGGAGGCGGUCGUGCUGGGGGCGGCGUGACACGGCUCGGGCCCGCCAGUGCCCCAACGGGGCCCUAGUCUUCUUGUUAUUUUUCUGCCCCUUUGAACUAGAAAAUGGCCCACUUCCCACUGGUGAAAACUCAUGAAAUUUGGCAGGACGACCGGGCCUGGUGAAAAAUUCGAUAUUCUGAAGUCGCCCAAACAAUCAAAUGCAAAAUGGCUCCAUAGCGCCCCCUUAGGUGAAAAAUUCACAUGAUUGAGUGUCACACCUGUACGCUUUGUCAAAAUGACACAAAAUUUGACACACACGUGUAUCUCAAUAAGAUCUACAAAAAAGUCUAUGCGCACGUAUCUGUCAAAUGUACGGUUAAAGGGCUAUUUUGCAUUUUUUGCGGAACCGCACACAUUGGAAUUUCGCUAACUCCUCCGAAGGCUUUCAUUCCACCGGCACCAAAUUUGCUCAGGCCAAUCUACACCCCAUGGCCAUUAAAAGUUGUACAAAUCAUGACGCUGCACCCCACGGUUUACGUUCUAGGGGGCGCCAAAGAUAACCCAAAAAUCCACAUUCUUAAAAGUCUAAUAACUUUUUAUUUUUGCCCUCACUGGCCUCCAAGUUUUCUAGGAUGAUGCAAUGACCAGCCAUCAACACAUUUGUGAAGGAAUUUUUACUCCCCAAAAGAGCGCCCCCCCAUGGCAGGAGAAAAAAGUCCAUUUUUUCUUGUCCCCUAAGGUGAAAAUACAUAUUGUUGAGUGUCACGCCUAUACGCUUUGUCAUAUUGAAAUAAAAUUUGACACACACGUGUAUCUCAAUAAGAUCUACAAAAAAGUCUAUGCGCACGUAUCUGUCAAAUGUACGGUUAAAGGGCUAUUUUGCAUUUUUUGCGGAACCGCACACAUUGGAAUUUCGCUAACUCCUCCGAAGGCUUUCGUUCCACCGGCACCAAAUUUGCUCAGGCCAAUCUACACCCCAUGGCCAUUAAAAGUUGUACAAAUCAUGACGCUGCACCCCACGGUUUACGUUCUAGGGGGCGCCAAAAAUAACCCAAAAAUCCACAGUCUUAAAAGUCUUAUAACUUUUUAUUUUUGUCCUCACUGGCCUCCAGGUUUUCUAGGAUGAUGCAAUGUCCAGCCAUCAACACAUUUGUGAAGGAAUUUUUACUCCCCAAAAGAGCGCCCCCCCAUGGCAGGAGAAAAAAGUCCAUUUUUUCUUGUCCCAUAAGGUGAAAAUACACAUUGUUGAGUGUCACGCCUGUACGCUUUGUCAUAUUGAAACAAAAUUUGACAAUCACGUGUAUCUCAAUAAGAUCUACGAAAAAGUCAAUGCGCACGUAUCUGUCAAAUAUACGGUUAAAGGGCUAUUUUGCAUUUUUUGCGGAACCGCACACAUUGGAAUUUCGCUAACUCCUCCGAAGGCUUUCGUUCCACCGGCACCAAAUUUGCUCAGGCCAAUCUACACCCCAUGGCCAUUAAAAGUUGUACAAAUCAUGACGCUGCACCCCACGGUUUACGUUCUAGGGGGCGCCAAAAAUAACCCAAAAAUCCACAGUCUUAAAAGUCUUAUAACUUUUUAUUUUUGUCCUCACUGGCCUCCAGGUUUUCUAGGAUGAUGCAAUGUCCAGCCAUCAACACAUUUGUGAAGGAAUUUUUACUCCCCAAAAGAGCGCCCCCCCAUGGCAGGAGAAAAAAGUCCAUUUUUUCUUGUCCCAUAAGGUGAAAAUACACAUUGUUGAGUGUCACGCCUGUACGCUUUGUCAUAUUGAAACAAAAUUUGACAAUCACGUGUAUCUCAAUAAGAUCUACGAAAAAGUCAAUGCGCACGUAUCUGUAAAAUGUACGGUUAAAGGGCUAUUACGCAUUUUUGAUUGAUUCGCACACAUUGGAAUGUGGCUAACUCCUCCUAAAGCUUUCGUUCCACCGGCACCACAUUUGCUCAGGCCAAUCUACACCCCAUGGCCAUUAAAAGUUGUACAAAUCAUGACGCUGCACCCCACGGUUUACGUUCUAGGGGGCGCCAAAAAUAACCCAAAAAUCCACAGUCUUAAAAGUCUUAUAACUUUUUAUUUUUGUCCUCACUGGCCUCCAAGUUUUCUAGGAUGAUGCAAUGUCCAGCCAUCAACACAUUUGUGAAGGAAUUUUUACUCCCCAAAAGAGCGCCCCCCCAUGGCAGGAGAAAAAAGUCCAUUUUUUCUUGUCCCAUAAGGUGAAAAUACACAUUGUUGAGUGUCACGCCUGUACGCUUUGUCAUAUUGAAACAAAAUUUGACAAUCACGUGUAUCUCAAUAAGAUCUACGAAAAAGUCAAUGCGCACGUAUCUGUAAAAUGUACGGUUAAAGGGCUAUUACGCAUUUUUGAUCGAUUCGCACACAUUGGAAUGUGGCUAACUCCUCCUAAAGCUUUCGUUCCACCGGCACCACAUUUGCUCAGGCCAAUCUACACCCCAUGGCCAUUAAAAGUUGUACAAAUCAUGACGCUGCACCCCACGGUUUACGUUCUAGGGGGCGCCAAAGAUAACCCAAAAAUCCACAUUCUUAAAAGUCUUAUAACUUUUCAUUUUUGUCCUCACUGGCUUCCAAGUUUUCUAGGCUGAUGCAAUGUCUAGCCAUCAACACAUUUGUGAAGGAAUUUUUACUCCCCAAAAGAGCGCCCCCCCCCCAUGGCAGGAGAAAAAGUCAAGUUUUUCCUGCCCAUCGCUCAAUGGCUCAAACACAUGUCAUGUGUUCAAACUCCUCCGAAAGGAGGAGCAACUUGCCAUUUGGAUAUAUCCUAGCUGUGUUUGUGCCCUCACUCAUGGAUCAGACUUUUUUCAAAUAGGACAUGUAGUUUGUCUGCAGCGAGUGUUUUGGUAGAAACUGCGCCUCCCAUUCAUUAUAAUGGGAAAUGACCACAGACAAGUGCGCACACCAUCUUUGGACCUUGAGUGUGACGCGAUCGGGAGGGGGAGGCGGUCGCGCUGGGGGCGGCGCAACGCGGCUCGGGCCCGACAGUGCCCCAACGGGGCCCUAGUUAUUAUUUUUCCUCCCCUUUGAACUGGAAAAUGGCCCACUUCCCACUGGCGAAAACUCAUGAAAUUUGGCAGGACGACCGGGCCUGGUGAAAAAUUUGAUAUUCUGAAGUCGCCCAAACAAUACAAUGCAAAAUGGCUCCAUAGCGCCCCCUAAGGUGAAAAAUUCACCUGACGCCUGUACGCUUUGUCAAAAUGACACAAAAAUUGAAACACACAUGUAUCUCAAUAAGAUCUAUAAAAAAGUCAGUGCGGGCGUAUCUGUCAAAUGUACGGUUAAAGGGUUAUUUCGCAUUUUUUGCCGAUCCGCACACAUUGGAAUUUCGCUAACUCCUCCGAAGGCUUUCGUUCCACCGGCACCACAUUUGCUCAGGCCAAUCUACACCCCAUGGCCAUUAAAAGUUAUUCAAAUCAUGACGCUGCACCCCACGGUUUAUGUUCUAGGGGGCGCCAAAGAUAACCCUAAAAUCCACAUAUUUCAAAGUCUUAUAACUUUUUAUUUUUGCCCUCACUGGCCUCCAAGUUUUCUAGGAUGAUGCAAUGUCCAGCCAUCAACACAUUUGUGAAGGAAUUUUUACUCCCCAAAAGAGCGCCCCCCCAUGGCAGGAGAAAAAAGUCCAUUUUUUCUUGUUCCAUAAGGUGAAAAUUCACACUAUUGACUGUCACGCCUGUACGCUUUGUCAAAAUUACACAAAAAUUGACACACACAUGUAUCUCAAUAAGAUCUACAAAAAAGUCAGUGCGGGCGUAUCUGUCAAAUGUACGGUUAAAGGGUUAUUGCGCAUUUUUUGCCGAUCCGCACACAUUGGAAUUUCGCUAACUCCUCCGAAGGCUUUCGUUCAACCGGCACCACAUUUGCUCAGGCCAAUCUACACCCCAUGGCCAUUAAAAGUUAUUCAAAUCAUGACGCUGCACCCCACGGUUUAGGUUCUAGGGGGCGCCAAAGAUAACCCUAAAAUCCACAUAUUUAAAAGUCUUAUAACUUUUUAUUUUUGUCCUCUCUGGCCUCCAAGUUUUCUAGGAUGAUGCAAUGUCCAGCCAUCAACACAUUUGUGAAGGAAUUUUUACUCCCUAAAAGAGCGCCCCCCCAUGGCAGGAGAAAAAAGUCCAUUUUUUAUUGUCCCAUAAGGUGAAAAUACACAUUGUUGACUGUCAUACCUGUAUGCUUUGUCAUAUUGACACAAAAUUUGACACACACAUGUAUCUCAAUAAGAUCUACGAAAAAGUCAAUGCGCGCGUAUCUGUAAAAUGUACGGUUAAAGGGCUAUUUUGCAUUUUUUGCCGAUUAGCACACAUUGGAAUGUGGCUAACUCCUCCUAAGGCUUUCGUCCCACUGACACCAAAUUUGCUCAGGCCAAUCUACACCCCAUGGCCAUUCAAAGUUUUAAAAAUCAUGACGCUGCACCCCACGGUUUACGUUCUAGGGGGCGCCAAAGAUAACCCUAAAAUCCACAUAUUUAAAAGUCUUAUAACUUUUUAUUUUUGUCCUCACUGGCCUCCAAGUUUUCUAGGAUGAUGCAAUGUCCAGCCAUCAACACAUUUGUGAAGGAAUUUUUACUCCCCAAAAGAGCGCCCCCCCAUGGCAGGAGAAAAAAGUCCAUUUUUUCUUGUCCCCUAAGGUGAAAAUUCACACUAUUGACUGUCACGCCUGUACGCUUUGUCAAAAUUACACAAAAAUUGACACACACAUGUAUCUCAAUAAGAUCUACAAAAAAGUCAGUGCGGGCGUAUCUGUCAAAUGUACGGUUAAAGGGUUAUUGCGCAUUUUUUGCCGAUCCGCACACAUUGGAAUUUCGCUAACUCCUCCGAAGGCUUUCGUUCAACCGGCACCACAUUUGCUCAGGCCAAAUUACACCCCAUGGCCAUUAAAAGUUAUUCAAAUCAUGACGCUGCACCCCACGGUUUAGGUUCUAGGGGGCGCCAAAGAUAACCCUAAAAUCCACAUAUUUAAAAGUCUUAUAACUUUUUAUUUUUGUCCUCUCUGGCCUCCAAGUUUUCUAGGAUGAUGCAAUGUCCAGCCAUCAACACAUUUGUGAAGGAAUUUUUACUCCCUAAAAGAGCGCCCCCCCAUGGCAGGAGAAAAAAGUCCAUUUUUUAUUGUCCCAUAAGGUGAAAAUACACAUUGUUGACUGUCAUACCUGUAUGCUUUGUCAUAUUGACACAAAAUUUGACACACACAUGUAUCUCAAUAAGAUCUACGAAAAAGUCAAUGCGCGCGUAUCUGUAAAAUGUACGGUUAAAGGGCUAUUUUGCAUUUUUUGCCGAUUAGCACACAUUGGAAUGUGGCUAACUCCUCCUAAGGCUUUCGUCCCACUGACACCAAAUUUGCUCAGGCCAAUCUACACCCCAUGGCCAUUCAAAGUUUUAAAAAUCAUGACGCUGCACCCCACGGUUUACGUUCUAGGGGGCGCCAAAGAUGACCCAAAUAUCCACAUUCUUAAAAGAAUCCACAUCCCUUCCCCCCCUCCCAUCCCCCAUCCCCCAUGGCAGGAGAAACAGUCAAGUUUUUCCUGCCCAUCACUCAAUGGCUCAAUCGCAUCGCUCUCCCGGCAACACCGUAACGAGGAGCAACUUGCCGUUUGGAUAUAUCCUAGCUGUGUUUGUGCCCUCACUCAUGGUCCAGACUUUUUUCAAAUAGGACAUGGAGUUUGUCUGCAGCGAGUGUUUUGGUAGAAACUGCGCCUCCCAUUCAUUAUAAUGGGAAAUGACCACAGACAAGUGCGCACACCAUCUUUGGACCUUGAGUGUGACGCGAUCGGGAGGGGGAGGCGGUCGCACUGGGGGCGGCGCAACGCGGCUCGGGC
Molecule: long non-coding RNA, 22375 nt
Filed under: Xyrichtys novacula (pearly razorfish)
Lineage: Eukaryota; Metazoa; Chordata; Actinopteri; Labriformes; Labridae
Source: RNAcentral